GACGUAGGGCGCGAGCGUUGUCCGGAUUUAUUGGGCGUAAAGAGCUCGUAGGCGGCUUGUCGCGUCGUCCGUGAAAACCUGCAGCUCAACUGCAGGCUUGCGGUCGAUACGGGCAGGCUAGAGUUCGGUAGGGGAGACUGGAAUUCCUGGUGUAGCGGUGAAAUGCGCAGAUAUCAGGAGGAACACCAACGGCGAAGGCAGCUCGCUAGGACGGUACUGACGCUGAGACGCGAAAGCGUGGGGAGCGAACAGG
RNAcentral lists this ribosomal RNA (253 nucleotides) under uncultured bacterium. Its description in RNAcentral is "partial 16S ribosomal RNA". It matches the Rfam family "Bacterial small subunit ribosomal RNA", at positions 524 to 776 of the family's 1533-position model. The record is from RNAcentral.